Molecule: ribosomal RNA, 466 nt
Filed under: uncultured bacterium
Lineage: Bacteria
Description: partial 16S ribosomal RNA
Rfam family: Bacterial small subunit ribosomal RNA
Source: RNAcentral
GACGAACGCUGGCGGCGUGCUUAACACAUGCAAGUCGAACGGUAAGGCUCCAGCUUGCUGGGGUACACGAGUGGCGAACGGGUGAGUAACACGUGGGUGACCUGCCCUGCACUUCGGGAUAAGCCUGGGAAACUGGGUCUAAUAUCGGAUAGGACCAUGGUGUGGAUACUGUGGUGGAAAGUUUUUUCGGUGUGGGUUGGGCCCGCGGCCUAUCAGCUUGUUGGUGGGGUAAUGGCCUACCAAGGCGGCGCCGGGUAGCCGGCCUGAGAGGGUGGACGGCCACAUUGGGACUGAGACACGGCCCAGACUCCUACGGGAGGCAGAAGUGGGGAAUAGUGCACAAUGGGCGGAAGCCUGAUGCAGCGACGCCGCGUGGGGGAUGACGGCCUUCGGGUUGUAAACUCCUUUCACCAUCGACGAAGGGUUUCUGACGGUAGAUGGAGAAGAAGCACCGGCUAACUACGUG